RNAcentral lists this ribosomal RNA (322 nucleotides) under uncultured eukaryote. RNAcentral describes it as "partial 18S ribosomal RNA". It matches the Rfam family "Eukaryotic small subunit ribosomal RNA", at positions 1470 to 1796 of the family's 1831-position model. The record is from RNAcentral.
CCCUUAGAUGUUCUGGGCCGCACGCGUGCUACACUGAGUGGAUCAGCGGGUCAGGUUGCGCGAAAGCGUUUCCUAAUCUUGAAAUCCGCUCGUGAUGGGGAUUGACGGUUGCAAUUUUCUGUCAUGAACGAGGAAUACCUUGUAAGCGCGAGUCAUCAUCCCGCGCUGAAUACGUCCCUGCCCUUUGUACACACCGCCCGUCGCUCCUACCGAUUGAGUGGUCCGGUGAGGCUUUGGGAUCUGAGCGGAAAGGGCGUUUCGCUCGUUCUGCCCGGAAAACUCAGUCGAACCUUAUCAUUUAGAGGAAGGAGAAGUCGUAACA